Molecule: small nuclear RNA, 107 nt
Filed under: Phocoena sinus (vaquita)
Lineage: Eukaryota; Metazoa; Chordata; Mammalia; Artiodactyla; Phocoenidae
Also listed under: 1 other name
Source: RNAcentral
GUGCUUGCUUCGACAGCACAUAUACAAAAAUUGGAACAAUACAGAGAUGAUUAGCAUGGCCCCUACACAAGGGUGACACGCAGAUUCGUGAACAGUUCCAUAUUUUC